RNAcentral lists this transfer RNA (75 nucleotides) under Candidatus Saccharimonadota bacterium. RNAcentral's name for it is "tRNA-Glu". It matches the Rfam family "tRNA". Rfam says of the family: Transfer RNA (tRNA) molecules are approximately 80 nucleotides in length. Their secondary structure includes four short double-helical elements and three loops (D, anti-codon, and T loops). Lineage: Bacteria; Candidatus Saccharimonadota. The record is from RNAcentral.
GACCUCAUCGUCUAACGGUUAGGACGCCAGGUUCUCAGUCUGGAAAUCGGGGUUCAAUUCCCCGUGAGGUCACCA